This 468-nucleotide long non-coding RNA is filed under the name Rattus norvegicus (Norway rat). RNAcentral describes it as "long non-coding RNA NONRATT031397". The record is from RNAcentral. Lineage: Eukaryota; Metazoa; Chordata; Mammalia; Rodentia; Muridae.
ACUGGCAGUGUCUGCAUUAAACAGCUAUAAACAUCCUACUUUUAUUAUUUGUGUUUUAGAGGGUAGGGCCUGGUUUCUGACUCAGGCUUGCUCACGAUGUGGGUGAAGAGGUGACGCUGAGGGAGACUAUUCAACCAGCCAUCCAGAAGCAGAAAUAAACAUCCACAAUGACAAUUAUUUCCUUUAACAUCACCUCCAGAAGAAAAAAAAUGGCCCCUGGAGUCAGGAAUGAAGGCUUUCACAGGGUAGAGGGCCUGUUUGAAGCAGAAACCAGUGUUGACAGAGUCAUCGUCCUCUCCAUAAAUCGUCCCCAGAGCAAGGAACUGGCCUCCUCCCUCUUCUUACCAGCCAGCCACCCACCCCAACUCAAACCUGCUUUGCAGUCAGAAAAAGAUGUGUGUUCAUCUAUCUGCAUAUUCAUUAAAAUGCACCAAGUCUUGCAAAUGGCUUCCCCCAACCCCAUUCUCC